Molecule: long non-coding RNA, 347 nt
Filed under: Gossypium barbadense (sea-island cotton)
Lineage: Eukaryota; Viridiplantae; Streptophyta; Magnoliopsida; Malvales; Malvaceae
Description: long non-coding RNA (GBAR_LNC018052)
Source: RNAcentral
UGUUCCCAUGUAUGGAACGGCAUUUAAAGGGAAGCAAAACAUGAAUUAAAUGAGAUAUUCACCAUGCAUGGACGGCAUUAAUGAAAGCAUGCAAGGGGGACGUUAUUGAACAGCAUUAAAGCUGGUAUUGCUUCGGGUACAGCAAAGAGCUGUUGUUUGGGGAAUUUCCAAGUGACCAUUCGGCCAAAGCAUGUCUGUUGCUUAAUUAACCAAGGUUGACGUUUCAUACUCCCAAGAAGCAUUUAGGAGCUGUUUUGUGUGCCCAAAACGUCAAUAAAAAUGGUCAAGCUGUUCAACUCACAAGGAGGCUUCAUUAAGGUGCAUUCAACUUCAUUGGCCGAACCAAG